AAUAAACGCUGGCGGCGUGCCUAACACAUGCAAGUCGCACGAGAAAGGGACUUCGGUCCCGAGUAAAGUGGCGCACGGGUGAGUAACGCGUAGGUAACCUCCCCCCGGGGUUGGGAUAACAGUGCGAAAGCGCUGCUAAUACCGGAUACGACAGAGAGACGGUGGUUUUUCUGUGAAAGCGGGCCUCUCGAAGAAGCUCGCGCUCGGGGAUGGGCCUGCGUCCUAUCAGCUAGUUGGCAGGGUAACGGCCUACCAAGGCGACGACGGGUAGCUGGUCUGAGAGGAUGAUCAGCCACACUGGCACUGGAACACGGGCCAGACUCCUACGGGAGGCAGCAGUGAGGAAUUUUGCGCAAUGGCCGCAAGGCUGACGCAGCAACGCCGCGUGGGUGAUGAAGGCCUUCGGGUCGUAAAGCCCUGUCGGGUGGGAAGAAAGUGCGUGGGGUUAACAGCCCUGUGUAUUGACGGUACCACCAGAGGAAGCACCGGCUAACUCCGUGCCAGCAGCCGCAGUAACAC
RNAcentral lists this ribosomal RNA (519 nucleotides) under uncultured bacterium. RNAcentral describes it as "bacterial SSU rRNA". It matches the Rfam family "Bacterial small subunit ribosomal RNA", at positions 29 to 526 of the family's 1533-position model. The record is from RNAcentral.